Molecule: ribosomal RNA, 443 nt
Filed under: uncultured bacterium
Lineage: Bacteria
Description: partial 16S ribosomal RNA
Rfam family: Bacterial small subunit ribosomal RNA
Source: RNAcentral
CCUACGGGUGGCAGCAGUGGGGAAUAUUGGGCAAUGGGCGCAAGCCUGACCCAGCAACGCCGCGUGAAGGAAGAAGGCUUUCGGGUUGUAAACUUCUUUUCUCAGGGACGAAGAAAGUGACGGUACCUGAGGAAUAAGCCACGGCUAACUACGUGCCAGCAGCCGCGGUAAUACGUAGGGGGCAAGCGUUAUCCGGAUUUACUGGGUGUAAAGGGAGCGUAGACGGCUUGGCAAGCCAGAUGUGAAAGGCUGGGGCUCAACCCCAGGACUGCAUUUGGAACUGUCAUGCUAGAGUGUCGGAGAGGCAGGCGGAAUGCCUAGUGUAGCGGUGAAAUGCGUAGAUAUUAGGAGGAACACCAGUGGCGAAGGCGGCCUGCUGGACGAUGACUGACGUUGAGGCUCGAAAGCGUGGGGAGCAAACAGGAUUAGAUACCCCUGUAGUC